UUUAAUAUCGCAUUUAUAGUCAUACUGACUGGUUGUCACAUAUUCGUCUUCAAAUUGCUGACUUGCAAACUCUGAAAUUCAAUCAAACAUCGAAUAAUUGCUUACAUUCACAUACAUCAUGCUUUGCAAACAGAAAUCAGGCUUAAAAUCUAAAUUUAAGCAAGGAAUUAAUUGUUGUAGGAAAUUAAAUGUUGCACUUUCCAGCAUUUUGGACCGCAA
RNAcentral lists this long non-coding RNA (219 nucleotides) under Gossypium barbadense (sea-island cotton). RNAcentral's name for it is "long non-coding RNA (GBAR_LNC020102)". The record is from RNAcentral. Lineage: Eukaryota; Viridiplantae; Streptophyta; Magnoliopsida; Malvales; Malvaceae.